Long non-coding RNA from Maniola jurtina (meadow brown), 268 nucleotides. RefSeq lists it as uncharacterized. The record is from RefSeq and is a predicted model, not a curated record. Lineage: Eukaryota; Metazoa; Arthropoda; Insecta; Lepidoptera; Nymphalidae. The transcript is spliced from 2 exons.
GGCUUGUACCAGAGACAAUUACUAGAUCACAGUACUAGUAUUUGUCAAGUUCAAGACGUCUAACAUUACCAGACUAAAAACUUCUUAAAAAAAAUUAUUAAUAGAAGUUAAGAAUUAGUACUGGCAAUGAUUAGUACAAGCAGAACUAACACCUACCUACCUAACGAUCUGCCCCCCAUAAAGAUAUGGGCUUGUACCAGAGACAAGUACUAGAUCACAGUAAUAGUAUUUGUCAAGUUCAAGACGUCUAACAUUACCAGACUAAAAA